Molecule: ribosomal RNA, 406 nt
Filed under: uncultured bacterium
Lineage: Bacteria
Description: partial 16S ribosomal RNA
Rfam family: Bacterial small subunit ribosomal RNA
Source: RNAcentral
AUUGAACGCUGGCGGCAGGCCUAACACAUGCAAGUCGAACGAGUAGCGGAAGGGUGAGUAGUGGAGGGGAAACUGCCUGAUGGAGGGGGCUAACUACUGGAAAAGGUAGCUAAAACUGCUUACCACCCGAUCUGCCCAGGUGGGAUGAGCUAGCUGGUGGGGUAACGGCUCACCAAGGGGACGAUCCCUCGCUGGUCUGAGAGGAUGAGCAGCCACAUUGGAACUGAGACACGGUCCAGACUCCUACGGGAGGCAGCAGUGGGGAAUAUUGCACAAUGGGCGCAAGCCUGAUGCAGCCAGGCCGCGUGUAUGAAGAAGGCCUUCGGGUUGUAAAGUACUUUCAGCGGGGAGGCGUUACCCGCAGAAGAAGCACCGGCUAACUCCGUGCCAGCAGCCGCGGUAAUAC